GAUGAACGCUGGCGGCAUGCCUAAUACAUGAAAGUCGAGCGAACAGACGAGGAGCUUGCUCCUCUGACGUUAGCGGCGGACGGGUGAGUAACACGUGGAUAACCUACCUAUAAGACUGGGAUAACUUCGGGAAACCGGAGCUAAUACCGGAUAAUAUAUUGAACCGCAUGGUUCAAUAGUGAAAUACGGUUUUGCUGUCACUUAUAGAUGGAUCCGCGCCGCAUUAGCUAGUUGGUAAUGUAACGGCUUACCAAGGCAACGAUGCGUAGCCGACCUGAGAGGGUGAUCGGCCACGCUGGAACUGAGACACGGUCCAGACUCCUACGGGAGGCAGCAGUAGGGAAUCUGCCGCAAUGGGCGGAAGCCUGACGGAGCAACGCCGCGUGAGUGAUGAAAGUCUUCGGAUCGUAAAACUCUGUUAUUAGGGAAGAACAAAUGUGUAAGUAACUAUGCACGUCUUGACGGUACCUAAUCAGAAAGCCACGGCUAACUCCGUG
RNAcentral lists this ribosomal RNA (497 nucleotides) under uncultured bacterium. RNAcentral's name for it is "partial 16S ribosomal RNA". It matches the Rfam family "Bacterial small subunit ribosomal RNA", at positions 28 to 507 of the family's 1533-position model. The record is from RNAcentral.